This 492-nucleotide ribosomal RNA is filed under the name uncultured bacterium. Its description in RNAcentral is "partial 16S ribosomal RNA". It matches the Rfam family "Bacterial small subunit ribosomal RNA", at positions 29 to 507 of the family's 1533-position model. The record is from RNAcentral.
AGUGAACGCUGGCGGUAGGCCUAACACAUGCAAGUCGAACGGCAGCACAGUAAGAGCUUGCUCUUACGGGUGGCGAGUGGCGGACGGGUGAGGAAUACAUCGGAAUCUACUUUUUCGUGGGGGAUAACGUAGGGAAACUUACGCUAAUACCGCAUACGACCUACGGGUGAAAGCAGGGGAUCUUCGGACCUUGCGCGAUUGAAUGAGCCGAUGUCGGAUUAGCUAGUUGGCGGGGUAAAGGCCCACCAAGGCGGCGAUCCGUAGCUGGUCUGAGAGGAUGAUCAGCCACACUGGAACUGAGACACGGUCCAGACUCCUACGGGAGGCAGCAGUAGGGAAUAUUGGACAAUGGGCGCAAGCCUGAUCCAGCCAUACCGCGUGAGUGAAGAAGGCCUUCGGGUUGUAAAGCCCUUUUGUUGGGAAAGAAAAGCAGCAGGUUAAUACCCCGCUGUUCUGACGGUACCCAAAGAAUAAGCACCGGCUAACUUCGUG